RNAcentral lists this ribosomal RNA (274 nucleotides) under uncultured bacterium. Its description in RNAcentral is "partial 16S ribosomal RNA". It matches the Rfam family "Bacterial small subunit ribosomal RNA", at positions 523 to 796 of the family's 1533-position model. The record is from RNAcentral.
AUACGGAGGAUGCAAGCGUUACUCGGAAUCACUGGGCGUAAAGCGCGCGCAGGCGGCUAUUUAAGUUGGAUGUGAAAGCCUACGGCUCAACCGUAGAACUGCAUCCAAAACUAUUUAGCUAGAGUGUGAGAGAGGAAGAUGGAAUUAGUUGUGUAGGGGUAAAAUCCGUAGAGAUAACUAGGAAUACCAAAAGCGAAGGCAAUCUUCUGGAACACUACUGACGCUGAGGCGCGAAAGCGUGGGGAGCAAACGGGAUUAGAUACCCUAGUAGUCC